This 720-nucleotide ribosomal RNA is filed under the name Salmonella enterica. RNAcentral's name for it is "partial 23S ribosomal RNA". It matches the Rfam family "Bacterial large subunit ribosomal RNA", at positions 734 to 1366 of the family's 2925-position model. Lineage: Bacteria; Pseudomonadati; Pseudomonadota; Gammaproteobacteria; Enterobacterales; Enterobacteriaceae. The record is from RNAcentral.
CCAUGGGCAGGUUGAAGGUUGGGUAACACUAACUGGAGGACCGAACCGACUAAUGUUGAAAAAUUAGCGGAUGACCUGUGGCUGGGGGUGAAAGGCCAAUCAAACCGGGAGAUAGCUGGUUCUCCCCGAAAGCUAUUUAGGUAGCGCCUCGUGAAUUCAUCUCCGGGGGUAGAGCACUGUUUCGGCUAGGGGGCCAUCCCGGCUUACCAACCCGAUGCAAACUGCGAAUACCGGAGAAUGUUAUCACGGGAGACACACGGCGGGUGCUAACGUCCGUCGUGAAGAGGGAAACAACCCAGACCGCCAGCUAAGGUCCCAAAGUCAUGGUUAAGUGGGAAACGAUGUGGGAAGGCCCAGACAGCCAGGAUGUUGGCUUAGAAGCAGCCAUCAUUUAAAGAAAGCGUAAUAGCUCACUGGUCGAGUCGGCCUGCGCGGAAGAUGUAACGGGGCUAAACCAUGCACCGAAGCUGCGGCAGCGAACGUAUCACCCAAGACAACUUUACGGAGUUGACGAUUGACGGAGCGAAGCGACGUCAAAGCGUUCAUUAAAGUCGAGUUGGCUUAGGGAUACGUUCGUUGGGUAGGGGAGCGUUCUGUAAGCCUGUGAAGGUGUGUCGUGAGGCAUGCUGGAGGUAUCAGAAGUGCGAAUGCUGACAUAAGUAACGAUAAAGCGGGUGAAAAGCCCGCUCGCCGGAAGACCAAGGGUUCCUGUCCAACGUU